GUUAUAGCUCUUAUACCCUACAGCCUCCCCUCAGGCUUCUGAAGCCCCUUUAUAUUAAGACUUCUCUUUGAAGCGUUGAUUUAUCUGGACUCAUGCCCAUCCCUUCUGAUAGAAGACAUACCUUUGGAGUAGCUAUUCUUUGCCUGACUAUCUUCUCCCCAACCUCUAAACCACCAGCCCACCUCAAGAAGAUUCUUUCCCCAUCUACCCCCAACAGAUCCUCCUCACUCUGUAGGUGGGAACAUUAGAAUUCUGGAAGCUCAAGAUCCUAGAGUCAGACUCGGUGACCGAAGCCAUUGAAUCCCCACCGCGGCUUCCAACUGCCAUGGAAUUCUGAGUUAGGCCAACACUUCUUCUAUCCCCUCCCCCAUCUCUGCCAUGACCCAUGGAAUCUAUUUGUGACAUGUGUAUAGGUUGUCUUCUAAUUCUUCUUGGGUUGGGAAGAAGCUGCCAUUUUUAGUUAAGCAAGUGGAACCCAGAUGAUCAGCUACCCAGCCUUGUAUGCUGAAACUCUUAAUUCAGUAAAAAGGAUAAAGACUUGUUUCUUCAUCUGGAGCAACUCCUUUGAGAAAUAACAUUGUCCAGUGGAAUGAGCACUUGAGAUAGCAGUAGAAGAUUUGGAUUCAAAUCCUGCUUCCUCUACCUACUAAUUGUAUGACCUUUG
Monodelphis domestica (gray short-tailed opossum) is the source of this 664-nucleotide non-coding RNA. The record is from RefSeq and is a predicted model, not a curated record. Lineage: Eukaryota; Metazoa; Chordata; Mammalia; Didelphimorphia; Didelphidae.